Long non-coding RNA from Athene cunicularia (burrowing owl), 791 nucleotides. RefSeq lists it as uncharacterized. The record is from RefSeq and is a predicted model, not a curated record. The transcript has 2 exons. Lineage: Eukaryota; Metazoa; Chordata; Aves; Strigiformes; Strigidae.
UUAGUGUUAUAUUCUUAAUAUUUCUUGAUUAGAAAGUGAUCUUGUAGCUUUUUACAAAAUUGCCAUGCAAGCUCUUCCUAAGAAUAAGCAUGAAAUUUUACCGUGCUUCAAUUCUGUAUAUAAGUUCUUACAUUGUCUUUAUCUUUACAUAUGUCAUUACAUAAUCCUUACUAAGGAAAUUUAGGUUAACUUUUGCAUAUGUUUUUCUUACUCUGUGACAUCUUUUGUCUUUUCUGAUUCAAAAGAGUUGUGUUUCCAUGUGACUGAGUUUUACCCCAUUGCGCACAGUACUUGAGGCAGCUGAUUUGAUUUGAGUGCAGUAAAGCUGGUGUGGGAAGGGCAGGCUGCCUGGCACUCUGCAGCUGGAGUGUUUGUAUCAACGCUUAUUUUAGUACCGAAGAGGGAAGCUUGACCAGAGUAGGAUCUAGUAUUUACCACUACUAGAUGGGAAGAAACAACUGUGGCACAUUACACCCGCAGGAAUGUUUUAUGCUGAUGCAAGAUUACUGAUACCUUGGGAUGCAUUUCCAAUCGUGACAGGUUAAAAGUGUGACAGUUUAUAGAUCUAUAAAAUUACUUUUCUUGUUGUCAGAUUUCUGUUUUCCUUGUCUUAGAAUUAAGUUGGAAAGUAUGGCUGCUGUCUCAAACACAGAUAGGCUCUUUUUUUCCACAGCUGUUGGUAUAUCCUCAGUAAAUAGUAAGUACUCAAAUUUUGGAUACUUAAAUAAACUUGUGUUCCUUCAUGGGGGAAGAUCUGUGAAUUGGUGCUUGUGAUGCCUUGCAUGAUAAUG